This 200-nucleotide unclassified non-coding RNA is filed under the name Humicola sp. RNAcentral describes it as "partial internal transcribed spacer 2". Lineage: Eukaryota; Fungi; Ascomycota; Sordariomycetes; Sordariales; Chaetomiaceae. The record is from RNAcentral.
UUAAGUUCAGCGGGUCUUCCUACCUGAUCCGAGGUCAACCUUGGGUAAAUAAGGCUUUUAACGGCCGGAACCCGCAGCACGCCCUGAGCGAGAUGUAUUACUACGCUCGGAGUUGUAGCGAGCCCGCCACUUCCUUUCGGGGCCUACGGCAGCCGUAGGGCCCCAACACCAAGCAGUGCUUGAGGGUUGAAAUGACGCUC